RNAcentral lists this ribosomal RNA (253 nucleotides) under uncultured bacterium. Its description in RNAcentral is "partial 16S ribosomal RNA". It matches the Rfam family "Bacterial small subunit ribosomal RNA", at positions 524 to 776 of the family's 1533-position model. The record is from RNAcentral.
UACGGAGGGUGCAAGCGUUAUCCGGAAUCACUGGGUUUAAAGGGUGCGUAGGCAGUUUGAUAAGUCAGAGGUGAAAGCUAGCAGCUUAACUGUUAAAUUGCCUUUGAUACUGUCAGACUUGAAUCAAGUUGAGGUAGGCGGAAGGUGACAUGUAGCGGUGAAAUGCAUAGAUAUGUCAUAGAACACCAAUUGCGUAGGCAGCUUGCUGGGCUUGAAUUGACGCUGAGGCACGAAAGCGUGGGGAUCAAACAGG